GACGUAGGGUGCGAGCGUUGUCCGGAUUUAUUGGGCGUAAAGAGCUCGUAGGCGGCUCGUCGCGUCGACCGUGAAAACCCGCAGCUUAACUGCGGGCUUGCGGUUGAUACGGGCAGACUAGAGUGCGGUAGGGGAGACUGGAAUUCCUGGUGUAGCGGUGAAAUGCGCAGAUAUCAGGAGGAACACCGGUGGCGAAGGCGGGUCUCUGGGCCGUAACUGACGCUGAGGUGCGAAAGCGUGGGGAGCAAACAGG
This 253-nucleotide ribosomal RNA is filed under the name uncultured bacterium. Its description in RNAcentral is "partial 16S ribosomal RNA". It matches the Rfam family "Bacterial small subunit ribosomal RNA", at positions 524 to 776 of the family's 1533-position model. The record is from RNAcentral.